This 433-nucleotide ribosomal RNA is filed under the name uncultured bacterium. RNAcentral's name for it is "partial 16S ribosomal RNA". It matches the Rfam family "Bacterial small subunit ribosomal RNA", at positions 38 to 507 of the family's 1533-position model. The record is from RNAcentral.
GGGGGGGGGUGGGGGGGGGGCUGGCGGGUGGGGGGCGGGCGGUGCGUUCGGGGAGCGGGGCGCGCGGGUGCGUCACGCGGGGUAGCCUGCCCUGAUGUUCGGGGGAACUCCUCGACGUUUGCUCUCGUCCCUGAUCCUGUCUUCAGCCCAAAGAUUUCUUGCCUGUGGAUGUGCCAGCGUUGGAUUAGCUAGUUGGUGGGGUAAAGGCAUACCAAGGCGCCGAUCCCUAGCUGGUCUGAGAUGAUGAUCCGCCACACUGGGACUGAGACACGGCCCAGACUCCUACGGGAGGCAGCAGGGGGGAAUAUUGGACAAUGGGCGAAAGCCUGAUCCAGCAAGGCCGCGUGAGUGAUGAAGGCCUUAGGGUUGUAAAGCUCUUUUACCCGGGAUGAUAAUGACAGGACCGGGAGAAUAAGCCCCGGCUAACUCCGUG